RNAcentral lists this small RNA (811 nucleotides) under Malus domestica (apple). RNAcentral's name for it is "sRNA MD12G0096700". Lineage: Eukaryota; Viridiplantae; Streptophyta; Magnoliopsida; Rosales; Rosaceae. The record is from RNAcentral.
GUAGACUUUCUAGUCGGCCAGCCAAUCAAAAAGACCAUAAAGCCCCUGUAAGCGCUCUAUAUAUCAAAAUCCUUUCGUUAUUCGCGGUGUUUUAAGUCUCCCAAACAUCUCUCUGCGCGAUCGAUUGAAAUUCCAAGAAUCGAAGAUGAUCGAGGUGGUGCUGAACGACCGUCUGGGGAAGAAGGUGAAGGUGAAGUGCAACGAGGAUGACACCAUCGGCGACCUGAAGAAGCUGGUGGCGGCUCAGACGGGCACCCGCUCCGACAAGAUUCGGAUCCAGAAGUGGUACAACGUCUACAAGGACCACAUCACCCUCAAGGACUAUGAGAUUCACGACGGCAUGGGCCUCGAGCUCUAUUACAACUGAAGGUGUUCCGGCCUUAUUACAAUGUGCUGGUGGUGGGAUUGGCGUUUAGUCUCUACAAGAAGUGGCUGUAUGUAUUGAAAACCGGUUGUAUGCAUUGCAAACCGUAGAAUGAUGCAGAUUAAUGUUUUUCCUAAAACUAUUUGGCUACAUGUAAGGAUUAACUGCAUAUACAUUUGUGUUAUUUGUGUUGCCACACAUUCAGUCUCAGUAUUCAGUAUUAAUGGUUUGCGACUGUGAUAUUUUGAAUCAGAAUAUGUAUUACUCGGUCUUUAAGAUGGGAUUGAUCUAUAGAAAAGAAUGAUCUUUUAUUUGGAUGGAAUUUGGAGGGGUUUAGACAUAAAGGAAGCUCAUUCCUUUAUCAUCCUACUAAAUUGGGGAUUGGAAUGGAUAAGUUUCUUUCACGACUAUGAGUAACCAUCUUUUAUCUUCAACAUACCUAUAAAC